This is a long non-coding RNA of Esox lucius (northern pike), 1347 nucleotides long. NCBI's taxonomy places the organism in Eukaryota, Metazoa, Chordata, Actinopteri, Esociformes, Esocidae. The record is from Ensembl.
UUGAAUUAGAACCUACUGUACAAGGUUUGAAUUAGAACUUAAUGUACACGGUUUGAAUUAGAACCUACUGUACAAGGUUUGAAUUAGAACUUAAUGUACACGGUUUGAAUUAGAACCUACUGUACACGGUUUGAUUUAGAACCUACUGUACACGGUUUGAAUUAGAACCUACUGUACACGGUUUGAUUUAGAACCUACUGUACAAGAGUUAAACGUUGGGUCUACUACUUCGAUCGUGAUUUUCCCUCGUUCAUGUGGUAACAUUUUUUAAAUAAAGACGGAGACAACUGAGUGAAUCACUGCGGGGAGGGAGGACAACGUUCUCCAGUAAGAGUGAGUGUAGUGGGGAGAGUGGGGGGAGGACGUGUCUGUUUGUGUUGGGGUCAGGGGGCCUGCCAGGCGGCAGAGAGCAGAAAGAGAGAAGCUUUUUCAAAUGGAUAGCAGCUGGCAUACAGACUGGGAGGCAGCCAACAUGUAGCCCAGGCAAAUGUCUUUAUAAUCUCUGAACAAGACUGUUAUUUAACUGUAAUGUAGUCUAUUGAUAGCACCACAUGUCUCAUUUGAAUGUACAUUGUGACCUAGAUGAUGAGAAGAACUUAUUUUUUUAUAUGUGAAUAUGUGUUUGUUUUGCUACUAUUUCACAAUAUAAUUUAUUGUUGUGUCAUUGUUAAUAUUUACUUCAGAGAGACUCAAGGCACAGACCUUAGGAAAAUGAAGAACCACAAGCAGCGUAAUUAAUGUAUUUUUAUGAAGAUGACUGUUACAUUUUCUUGUACACUAAAACAUUUCUUUAGGGGCAAUGCAAUGAAACCUUUUGGGAAACCCCUAUAUGAAUUCCUUAAGGAAAACAUUUGUAAGGGUAUUUUUGAAGAACUAAUUUUAGUGGUUCCUCAAAUAAAAAAUUUAGGAACCUACAACAAAAUCAUCCCCAAAAGGUUCUUUGAGGGACCAUUUAAAAGGGGUUCUUUGAAUAACUUAGAGGCUGCCCCAGUUUCAAUUUAAAGAACCCCUGUAUAUUCCCCCUUCAAAUGUCUCACUCUGGUCCCUCCUAAAACCCAUAUGACUUUUGGUUGUCAUUUGUGUGUGCCACUGCGCUGUAAAAAAUUACAAAACCCCCUGAGUUUGACACAUUCAUCACACCGCACUCCUUCACAAAUAUACUAGUUUCUAUGUGAUCAAUCCUCUCGUUGAAUCUGCCAAACCUAUCUGUCCAACGCUUUAUUUAAUGUAAUUUCAAGUCCAUUGUCUGUUCCCUUGUAUAUAUUGUUGUUAAUUUGUAUUUAUUUUGUACAUUAUUCAUGUUCUGUGUGUUGUCUUGUCUCUUGCAAUUAAUUUCCUUUGGCCGGG